This 2594-nucleotide long non-coding RNA is filed under the name Mus musculus (house mouse). RNAcentral's name for it is "long non-coding RNA chr8:94239378-94241972". The record is from RNAcentral. Lineage: Eukaryota; Metazoa; Chordata; Mammalia; Rodentia; Muridae.
GAGAAUUAUCUAUAAAGUUCUUUAAAGGUGACAAGGGCUCUUUGGAGAGUUGCUGAUCUCUGAACUGUGUUUAAGAUUCAACCUGAAACUUGCCAUGCCAGAUGGCAGUUAUAAAGUCUUCCUGGUGUCAUUUGAGAAAGAACUUGAAAGGCACUACUGAUACAUGUUGAAUAGUGGUUUAAUGUAUGUAAAGUCCCAGGUUUUGUCUUCAAUGCCAUAAGCCAACACACACACACACACACACACACACACACACACACACACAUCAACACAAAAAUGAAAUGAAGUGAAACUUUAAAACUUAGAGACAAACACAAAGAGGCUUCUCUGGGCCAAAGGUAAGAUUGAUUGAGCAUCAGAAGGGUAAGAAAUGCAGAGGAGAUUGGAGAUGGCUCAGCACUCUUCCAGGGGACCUAACACCCACCAUCUGUAAUUCUAGUUUCAGGGGAUCCAACACCUUCUUCUGGCCUCCACAGCAUCAUGUACACGUGCAAUACAUAGACAUACAUGCAGGUAAACAUUUAUACACAUAAGAUAGAAAUAAAUCUCAAAACAAAACCUGUAAGAAUUCUGUAGGUUAAAACAUCAAAUGUGUUUCAGGUCUUUUUUUUUUUUUUUUUUUUUUUGGUUUUUUUUGAGACAGGGUUUCUCUGUAUAGCCCUGGCUAUCCUGGAGCUCACUUUGUAGACCAGGCUGGCCUGGAACUCAGAAAUCUGCCUGCCUCUGCGUCCCGAGUGCUGGGAUUAAAGGCAUGCGCCACCAUGUCAAUCUGUGUUUCAGUUUUUAAUGAUACCAAAAUAACAAUUAGUCAGGUUGAAGACUAUUGGAGAGCCAGCUCACUGUUCAGGGUGAGCACAUGUACAGUCAUAGGUUUUCAGUCAUAGGAUUUAUAAAGGUAGAAGUAUAGUCCAGUGUGUAAGCCUACAAGGAACAGCUGAGUCUAAGCAGUGGACAUCAGUGUCUGCAGGCUUUCCAUACCUCUUGAUAGAAGUGUGACCAGUACAUAGCAACAGAACAAUGGUGCCUGCGUCUAAUCAGACUGUAACACUUGCUUUGAGUUUAUCUCUUGCUUUGAGUCAACUCUUAGUAUCAGUAACCUACUUGUCAACCACAAGGCUUUUUGAAGCGAAGAGUAUCAGGCUCUAUCCCAGAGCUGUUGAAUCGAACCCAGCAUUUCCUCAGGUCAGGUGAUUAAAUCUGAGUUACAUUCUUUUACAAGCACACCUAAAUUCUUCUACGAAGAAACUAGAAGGAAAAAAAAUGAGAUGGAGGGGAAAACCUGUAAAGAAAAGAUUUAGAAAGCACACCAGUUGCCCACAAGAGCUUAUCUGGCACUCAUUUAGACAAACACAGAUAUUCAAAUUAUGAAACAAUUGGGAAAUAUAUUUUACUAUAAUAAUUAAAAAGUAAUUGGAGUGGUGGAGGAAAAUAGGGUAGAUUGGACAGGAUUGAGCAUAUCCUGUGAAUUGUUGAAGCUGGGUCAUAGGAACAAAGAAAUACAGUAUUCUAAUUUUGCAUUUUAAUCAUUUUUUUAUAACAACAAGAAAAGGGAGACUGACAAGAUAGUAUAGUCCUAAAGGUGAUGAUGUGCGAAUUGUAUGUUGCUGAUGGGAUGUAAAAUGGUGACUACUUUGGAAAAAGGUCUGAGUUCCUCAGAAGACUUAACCCAGCAGUUCUGCUCUGAGGUAUAUGCCCAAGAGAAAUGUAAGCAUUCAUGUGAAACUUGUGUUCUUGGCAAUAUUUUUCAUAACAAUGAAAACCUUGGAAACAGCUCAAAUGCCCACUGACUGAUUAAUGGAUACAUAAAAUGAGGUAUGGUAUAAAAUAUAAUGAAGUCUUAAAUCUACCCCAGAUAGAUGAGCCUCAAAAGCAUUAGAGAAAGGAAGCAGUCACAAAGACCAUUGUCUUGUUCCAUUUAUAUGCAUUGUCAAGGUCUUGUGAAGGAAAGCAGGGAAGUGUUUCUCAAGAUAGGGCUUACUUUGUGGGGUGAUGAAAAUAUUCUACAGUUGCUGGUGAUGGUUGUAUACUUCUGUAUAUGAAUAUACCAAAAUUACUGAAUUGUAUGUAUACUGUAACGGAUGAAUUGUGUGGUAUGCAAAUAUGUAUCAGUAGAACUUUCCUGAAAGGAGGGAGAACAUUAUACUAAGACUUGAUUCCCCACUUUGUCCAGGAGAAGUCAGACUAGGUCUUUGUGGAGCCAGGGAUGAGAAGCACUGUGCAAUGAAGAAAACUAUUGAGGAUUGUUAGAGGGGUAGGCUGUCUAUCGAUUUGUUCGCUUAGAGGGGAAGCCCAGAGAUGGUGACAUAAGGAAUUAAGGAUCUGCUGGCAGGAACUGUCAGUGUUUACCAGAAUACAGCCAGGCUGAGGGGACCCCUUCUUCUUCUCUGAGAGAGCUGGGAGUAAAUUUACACUACAGGUGUUCUAUGUGCUCACAAAUGCUGCAGCAGCAACAGUCCCCCUUCUUCCUCCUCCCCCAUCUCCAGCACCAUCUGGGGUCUCAUUCGCCUGACUUUCUAGCUUCUUACUCAAGGUGAAAGCAUACUUUGUUAGUCACAUUUUGGGAAUACCAAAUCAUAAUACAAAAAUAGCAAUCU